This 450-nucleotide ribosomal RNA is filed under the name uncultured bacterium. Its description in RNAcentral is "bacterial SSU rRNA". It matches the Rfam family "Bacterial small subunit ribosomal RNA", at positions 1057 to 1505 of the family's 1533-position model. The record is from RNAcentral.
AGCUCGUGUCGUGAGAUGUUGGGUUAAGUCCCGCAACGAGCGCAACCCUUGUCCCUAGUUGCCAUCAGGUUAAGCUGGGCACUCUAGAGAGACUGCCGGUGAUAAACCGGAGGAAGGUGGGGAUGACGCCAAGUCAUCAUGGCCCUUACGUCCCGGGCUACACACGUGCUACAAUGGCUGGUACAGAGGGCUGCAAAACCGCAAGGUCGAGCGAAUCCCAAAAAACCAGUCUCAGUUCGGAUUGGAGUCUGCAACUCGACUCCAUGAAGUCGGAAUCGCUAGUAAUCGCAGAUCAGCAGGCUGCGGUGAAUACGUUCCCGGGCCUUGUACACACCGCCCGUCAAGUCAACCGAGUUGAGUGCACCCGAAGUCGCUGUACCAACCCUUUGGGAGGAAGGCGCCGAAGGUGUGCUUGAUGAGAGGGACUAAGUCGUAACAAGGUAACCAAUC